GUGCUCACUUCAGCAGCACAUAUACUAAAAUUGGAAUGUUACAGAGAUUAGCAUGACCACUCUGCAAGAAUGACAUGAAAAUUCGUGAAGCAUUCCAUACUUUU
Acomys russatus (golden spiny mouse) is the source of this 104-nucleotide small nuclear RNA. Lineage: Eukaryota; Metazoa; Chordata; Mammalia; Rodentia; Muridae. The record is from RefSeq and is a predicted model, not a curated record.